Juglans microcarpa x Juglans regia is the source of this 321-nucleotide long non-coding RNA. RefSeq lists it as uncharacterized. The record is from RefSeq and is a predicted model, not a curated record. Lineage: Eukaryota; Viridiplantae; Streptophyta; Magnoliopsida; Fagales; Juglandaceae. The transcript is spliced from 2 exons.
UAAGCUGAGUAACACUCAUUUCCCCUUCAAAUGUAUGGUCUGCACAAUCGAGAGCAUUCUCCUUUCUUUUCUUCAUUUUAUCUCUCCACACACACCCUCCAUUUAUCUUCUGCUACCUCUUCUCUCAUACACACAUCAAAUUAACUACACAAUCCUUUCCUUGAUUAGAAAUUGUGAGAGAGUGCAUUUGGCAGUUUUUGUCUUAAGCAAAUGAUAAGUUUGUAAGUUAGCUUAUAACUUUCUUAUGGUUUGUGAUAGUAUGUUUAUUGAUAAACGUUGCAUCAAAAUUAACGUUUAUGUUCUAAAGUUCCAUUUAUAUCC